This 253-nucleotide ribosomal RNA is filed under the name uncultured bacterium. RNAcentral describes it as "partial 16S ribosomal RNA". It matches the Rfam family "Bacterial small subunit ribosomal RNA", at positions 524 to 776 of the family's 1533-position model. The record is from RNAcentral.
UACAGAGGUCUCAAGCGUUGUUCGGAUUCAUUGGGCGUAAAGGGUGCGUAGGUGGCGCUGUAAGUCAGGUGUGAAAUUUCGGAGCUUAACUCCGAAACUGCAUUUGAUACUGCGGUGCUUGAGGACUGGAGAGGAGACUGGAAUUCACGGUGUAGCAGUGAAAUGCGUAGAGAUCGUGAGGAAGACCAGUGGCGAAGGCGGGUCUCUGGACAGUUCCUGACGCUGAGGCACGAAGGUCAGGGGAGCAAACGGG